GAAAGCAUCGUGCAACAACAUGCUGAUUUCAGAAUAUAUAUUGUAUGUUUUGUGCUUAACCUUGACUUGCUUUUUCAGCAUUCAAAAAACUGAUGUUGCAGCUACUGCAGCUGAAACUGAAGGUAACAA
Long non-coding RNA from Exaiptasia diaphana, 129 nucleotides. RefSeq lists it as uncharacterized. NCBI's taxonomy places the organism in Eukaryota, Metazoa, Cnidaria, Anthozoa, Actiniaria, Aiptasiidae. The transcript has 2 exons. The record is from RefSeq and is a predicted model, not a curated record.